This 444-nucleotide ribosomal RNA is filed under the name Indothais gradata. Its description in RNAcentral is "partial small subunit ribosomal RNA". It matches the Rfam family "Bacterial large subunit ribosomal RNA", at positions 1933 to 2593 of the family's 2925-position model. Lineage: Eukaryota; Metazoa; Mollusca; Gastropoda; Neogastropoda; Muricidae. The record is from RNAcentral.
GCGGUACUCUGACCGUGCAAAGGUAGCAUAAUCAUUUGCCUUAUAAUUGAAGGCUAGUAUGAAUGGUUUGACGAGAAUUAAGCUGUCUCUUUACAAUUAAAUAUAAUUUUAUUUACAGGUGAAGAAGCCUGUGUUUUAUUGAAAGACAAGAAGACCCUAUCGAGCUUUAAAAAAUUUAGUAGACUUAUCUUAUAUUAAUAAAAAUAUAAGGCUAUUAAAAAUUUUGGUUGGGGCGACUGAGGAACAAAUAAAGCUUCCUUUAUAGUUAAAAACUUACAAGUAUUGAGCCAAUAAAUUUGAUUAAAGGAAUUAGUUACCGUAGGGAUAACAGCAUAAUCUUCUUUGAGAGCUCCCAUCGAAAAGGAGGUUUGUGACCUCGAUGUUGGACCAGAAUACCCAGAAGAUGCAGCUGUCUUCAAAGGUUGGUCUGUUCGACCAUUAAAA